Molecule: ribosomal RNA, 433 nt
Filed under: uncultured bacterium
Lineage: Bacteria
Description: partial 16S ribosomal RNA
Rfam family: Bacterial small subunit ribosomal RNA
Source: RNAcentral
AACGAACGCUGGCCGCAUGCCUAACACAUGCAAGUCGAACGCGAACCUCGGGUUUAGCGGCGUACGGGUGCGUAACGCGUGGGAACCUGCUCUUAGACUCGGAAUAACUUCCCGAAUGGGGUGCUAAUACCGGUUAAUGUAUCUGGUAAAAAGAUUUAUCGCCGUUGGCUGGGUCCGCGUUGGAUUUGCUAGUUGGUAGGGUAAAAGCCUACCAAGGUGACGAUCCAUAGCUGGUCUGCGAGGAUGAUCAGCCAGACGGGGACUGAGACACGGCCCAGACUCCGACGGGAGGCAGCAGUGGGGAAUAGUGGACGAUGGGCGAAAGCCUGAUCCAGCAAUGCCGCGUGAGUGAUGAAGGCCGGAGGGUUGUAAAGCUCUAUUACCCGGGAUGAUAAUGACAGUACCGGGAGAAUAAGCGCCGGCUAACUCCGUG